This 217-nucleotide ribosomal RNA is filed under the name Priestia megaterium. RNAcentral describes it as "partial 16S ribosomal RNA". It matches the Rfam family "Bacterial small subunit ribosomal RNA", at positions 219 to 435 of the family's 1533-position model. The record is from RNAcentral. Lineage: Bacteria; Bacillati; Bacillota; Bacilli; Caryophanales; Bacillaceae.
UUACAGAUGGGCCCGCGGUGCAUUAGCUAGUUGGUGAGGUAACGGCUCACCAAGGCAACGAUGCAUAGCCGACCUGAGAGGGUGAUCGGCCACACUGGGACUGAGACACGGCCCAGACUCCUACGGGAGGCAGCAGUAGGGAAUCUUCCGCAAUGGACGAAAGUCUGACGGAGCAACGCCGCGUGAGUGAUGAAGGCUUUCGGGUCGUAAAACUCUG